AAGCAACAAAUGCCCUGCUUCCAGGAAAAGCCUCUAAGCAUCAGGUAACAUCAAAUCGUACCCCAAACCGACACAGGUGGUCAGGUAGAGAAUACCAAGGCGCUUGAGAGAACUCGGGUGAAGGAACUAGGCAAAAUGGUGCCGUAACUUCGGGAGAAGGCACGCUGAUAUGUAGGUGAAGUCCCUCGCGGAUGGAGCUGAAAUCAGUCGAAGAUACCAGCUGGCUGCAACUGUUUAUUAAAAACACAGCACUGUGCAAACACGAAAGUGGACGUAUACGGUGUGACGCCUGCCCGGUGCCGGAAGGUUAAUUGAUGGGGUUAGCGCAAGCGAAGCUCUUGAUCGAAGCCCCGGUAAACGGCGGCCGUAACUAUAACGGUCCUAAGGUAGCGAAAUUCCUUGUCGGGUAAGUUCCGACCUGCACGAAUGGCGUAAUGAUGGCCAGGCUGUCUCCACCCGAGACUCAGUGAAAUUGAACUCGCUGUGAAGAUGCAGUGUACCCGCGGCAAGACGGAAAGACCCCGUGAACCUUUACUAUAGCUUGACACUGAACAUUGAGCCUUGAUGUGUAGGAUAGGUGGGAGGCUUUGAAGUGUGGACGCCAGUCUGCAUGGAGCCGACCUUGAAAUACCACCCUUUAAUGUUUGAUGUUCUAACGUUGACCCGUAAUCCGGGUUGCGGACAGUGUCUGGUGGGUAGUUUGACUGGGGCGGUCUCCUCCUAAAGAGUAACGGAGGAGCACGAAGGUUGGCUAAUCCUGGUCGGACAUCAGGAGGUUAGUGCAAUGGCAUAAGCCAGCUUGACUGCGAGCGUGACGGCGCGAGCAGGUGCGAAAGCAGGUCAUAGUGAUCCGGUGGUUCUGAAUGGAAGGGCCAUCGCUCAACGGAUAAAAGGUACUCCGGGGAUAACAGGCUGAUACCGCCCAAGAGUUCAUAUCGACGGCGGUGUUUGGCACCUCGAUGUCGGCUCAUCACAUCCUGGGGCUGAAGUAGGUCCCAAGGGUAUGGCUGUUCGCCAUUUAAAGUGGUACGCGAGCUGGGUUUAGAACGUCGUGAGACAGUUCGGUCCCUAUCUGCCGUGGGCGCUGGAGAACUGAGGGGGGCUGCUCCUAGUACGAGAGGACCGGAGUGGACGCAUCACUGGUGUUCGGGUUGUCAUGCCAAUGGCACUGCCCGGUAGCUAAAUGCGGAAGAGAUAAGUGCUGAAAGCAUCUAAGCACGAAACUUGCCCCGAGAUGAGUUCUCCCUGACUCCUUGAGAGUCCUGAAGGAACGUUGAAGACGACGACGUUGAUAGGCCGGGUGUGUAAGCGCAGCGAUGCGUUGAGCUAACCGGUACUAAUGAACCGUGAGG
Molecule: ribosomal RNA, 1352 nt
Filed under: Escherichia coli
Lineage: Bacteria; Pseudomonadati; Pseudomonadota; Gammaproteobacteria; Enterobacterales; Enterobacteriaceae
Description: partial 23S ribosomal RNA
Rfam family: Bacterial large subunit ribosomal RNA
Source: RNAcentral